UUUAAUUGAAGAGUUUGAUCAUGGCUCAGAUUGAACGCUGGCGGUAGGUUUUAUACAUGCAAGUCGAGCGGUAACAGACAUUUUUGAUUCAGCUUGCUGAAUCUUGUGCUGACGAGCGGCGAACGGGUGAGUAACGCGUAGGAAUCUGCCCAGUAGCGGGGGAUAGCCCGAGGAAACUCGGAUUAAUACCGCAUACGCCCUAAGGGGGAAAGAAGGCCUCUCCUUGGAAGCUUUCACUAUUGGAUGAGCCUGCGUAAGAUUAGUUUGUUGGUGAGGUAAUGGCUCACCAAGGCGACGAUCUUUAGCUGGUCUGAGAGGACGACCAGCCACAUUGGGACUGAGACACGGCCCAGACUCCUACGGGAGGCAGCAGUAAAGAAUCUUGGACAAUGGGGGAAACCCUGAUCCAGCCAUACCGCGUGUGUGAAGAAGGCCUUAGGGUUGUAAAGCACUUUAAGCAACCAGGAAGAAAAGUAAGUUAAUACCUUAUUUUUUUGACAUUAAUUGCAGAAUAAGUACCGGCUAACUCCGUGCCAGCAGCCGCGGUAAUACGGAGGGUACAAGCGUUAAUCGGAAUUACUGGGCGUAAAGCGCGCGUAGGCGGCUAAGCAAGUUGGGUGUGAAAGCCCAGGGCUCAACCCUGGAACUGCAUUCAAAACUAUUUAGCUAGAGUACGAGAGAGGAGAGUAGAAUUUCUGGUGUAGCGGUGAAAUGCGUAGAUAUCAGAAGGAAUACCAAUGGCGAAGGCAGCUCUCUGGAUCGUCACUGACGCUAAGGUGCGAAAGCGUGGGUAGCAAACAGGAUUAGAUACCCUGGUAGUCCACGCCGUAAACGAUGAGAACUAGCCGUUGGGAGGGAUUAACCUUUCAGUGGCGCAGCUAACGCAUUAAGUUCUCCGCCUGGGGACUACGGCCGCAAGGCUAAAACUCAAAUGAAUUGACGGGGGCCCGCACAAGCGGUGGAGCAUGUUGUUUAAUUCGAUGCAACGCGAAGAACCUUACCUACCCUUGAAAUCCAGCGAAGUUCUUAGAGAUAGGAAUGUGCCUUCGGGAACGCUGUGACAGGUGUUGCAUGGCUGUCGUCAGCUCGUGUCGUGAGAUGUAUGGUUAAGUCCAGUAACGAGCGCAACCCCUAUCCUUAUUUGCCAGCGAGUAAUGUCGGGAACUAUAGGGAGACUGCCGGUCAAAAACCGGAGGAAGGCGGGGACGAGGUCAAGUCAUCAUGGCCCUUAUGGGUAGGGCUACAAACGUGCUACAAUGGAUGGUACAAAAGGCUGCGAAAGCGCGAGCUGGAGCCAAUCCUUCAAAACCAUUCUUAGUCCGGAUUGGAGUCUGCAACUCGACUCCAUGAAGUUGGAAUCGCUAGUAAUCGCGAAUCAGAAUGUCGCGGUGAAUACGUUCUCGGGCCUUGUACACACCGCCCGUCACGUCAUGGAAGUGGGUUGCACCAGAAGUGGUUUGUUUAACCUUCGGGGAGACGGUCACCACGGUGUGAUUCACAACUGGGACGAAGUCGUAACAAGGUAGCCCUAGGGGAACCUGGGGCUGGAUCACCUCCUUA
This 1560-nucleotide ribosomal RNA is filed under the name uncultured gamma proteobacterium HF4000_19M20. Its description in RNAcentral is "16S ribosomal RNA". It matches the Rfam family "Bacterial small subunit ribosomal RNA". Lineage: Bacteria; Pseudomonadati; Pseudomonadota; Gammaproteobacteria. The record is from RNAcentral.